GUACCGAACUGUAAUCUUUAUCAGAUAACUGUCGGAUUUUAUUUUCCACCUUCUAGGUGUCAGAAUCGGCUGAAACUUUAAAUCUAGCCUCAUAAAAAUAAUUCUGACAUAUCCUCUAGUUUUCAUAAUUUUCUAACACUGUGUAUUUUCUGCUAAUUUAUCUGCCUCCUUUCACACAGAAAAUUCUAAAUCUUCUGUUUUCACUCCGAUUUCAGCACAGGUCAUUCCCAACCUAUAAUUCACUUCUCUAAAUCCAAUAAAAAUAGUAUCUCAUACUAUGUUUAUUUAUUUUCACUUUUACAUUUAAAAUUCGGUAUGUUACAUUCCACCGCAAUCUCACCGGAACCAUUUAAAUGUACACCGUAACUUCAUAGUUUUAGAUGUCCGGUACCUUACAUAUAGAUUGUGAGAGCAAGGUGAUCGUAUUUCGUGAGCCUAACCAAGAAAAGUUGGUGUAUCGCGCAUGUAAAAGCAAGUGCUUCGCGGCGACCGUAUCGGCAGCGAGGGCAAAGAAGAUGAUCAAAGGUGGAUGUGUGGUCUAUUUGGAGACCAUGGUAGAUGCUCAAAGGGAGCACCCAGAGUUGGGGAAUAUUCGAGUAGUAUGUGAGUUUCCGGAUGUGUUUCCAGCGGAGUUACCGGGAUUGCCACCAGACCGGGAGGUCGAGUUCGUCAUUGACUUGAUUCCCGGGGCGGCGCCAAUCUCGAAGGCUCCGUAUAGAAUGACACGGGUGGAGCUAGUGGAGUUAAAAGCACAACUGCAAGACUUGCUCGAUAAAGGCUUUGUGAGGCCGAACGUGUCACCAUGGGGAGCUCCAGUGCUGUUUGUGAAAAAGAAAGACGGUACACUUCGACUCUGCGUAAACUAUCGUGAGUUGAACAAGGUAACAGUUAAGAACAAGUAACCGUUGCCGAGGAUUGACGAUCUAUUUGAUCAGUUGCAAGGGUCAAUGGUGUAUUCAAAGAUUAAUCUCCAGUUGGGGUAUCAUCAAUUAAAGAUUAGGCCAAAGGAUGUACACAAAAUGGCGUACCGUACGCGGUAUGGCCAUUAUGAAUUCACGGUAAUGCCGUUUGGGCUUACUAAUGCCCCGGCAGCAUUUAUGGACUUGAUGAAUCGAGUCUUUCGGUCGUUGUUGGAUCGAUGCGUCAUGGUGUUCAUCGAUGACAUGUUGGUCUACGCGAGGAGCGAGGAGGAGCACGAGUAGCAUUUGAGAGCCGUGCUAUAGAUUCUCCGACAAGAGAAGCUUUAUGCCAUGUUGAAGAAAUGUGACUUUUGGCUUAUGGAGGUCACAUUCUUAGGCCACGUGAUAUCGGGCGAUGGGGUCUCGGUAGAUUCUAAGAAAGUGGAGGCGAUCAAGGAUUGUCUCGUCCGACAAGUGUAGCGGAGAUCCGCAGUUUUCUUGGACUUGCAGGCUACUAUCGGCGGUUCGUGGAGGGGUUUGCCAAAAUAACUACUCCACUAACGCACCUUACCCACAAAGGAGUAAAGUAUAUUUGGAGCGACGAUUGCGAUCGGAGCUUCGAAGAGUUGAAGAAAAAGUUGACGUCGACCUCGGUGCUUGCUUUGCUGACUCCGGGGGAGACCUUUGUAGUGUACAGUGAUGCUUCAUAUGUCGGACUCGGGUGUGUAUUGAUGCAAAGUGGCCGAGUAAUAGCUUAUGCUUCAUGUCAACUGAAGAGCUAUGAAAAGAAUUACCCGGUACAUGACCUUGAGUUAGCUGCGGUGAUAUUCGCUCUAAAGUUGUGGAGGCAUUAUCUGUACGGUGAGCAUUGUGAGAUUUACACAGAUUAUAAGAGUCUCAAAUACUUGUUCACCCAAAAGGAAUUGAACAUGCGACAGCAGCGGUGGUUGGAGUUGUUGAAGGACUAUGAUGUCACUAUACUUACCACCCUGGAAAAGCCAAUGUCGUAGCCAACGCGCUAAGUAGGAAAUUAGUAGAAAACUUGGCGAUGGAAAUCACGUCGCAACCAUUGUUGCAAAAGGAAAUGCAACGGUUGGGUCUUGAAGUUGUGGCGCCGGGAGUGCCGGCAACACUUGCCACAUUGGUAGUGCAACCGACCUUGUUGGAGAAGAUCAAAGAGCUGCAAGCUUCGGAUCCUUAUCUUCAAAAGGUGCGGAGUGAGGUUGAAAGCGGUAGUGCCGAGGAUUUUGGCAUUUCAAAAUCUUUGGUGUGUACCUAAAGAUGAUGACAUGCGAAGGGCGAUCAUGCAAGAAGCACAUCAAUCUCCCUAUAGUAUACACCCGGGCGGCACUAAAAUGUAAUAAGAUCUAAAAGUGAAUAAUUUGUGGCCGGGCAUGAAAAGAGAAAUUGGAGAGUUCGUGGCGCAAUGCCUUACGUGCCAACAAGUGAAAGCGGAGCGCCGGUUUCUGGCGGGGAAGCUUCAAAGUCUACCAAUACCCGUAUGGAAAUGGGAAGACAUUUCGAUGGAUUUCGUCACCGGUUUGCCUCGAUCUCAAGGCAGACACGAUGCAAUAUGGGUGAUUGUGGACCGAUUGACGAAGUCGGCGCACUUCUUGCCGAUUCACACUACGUGGUCGGAGACAAGUUGGCUCAAGUAUAUCUUGACGAGGUUGUGAGACUGCAUAGGAUUCCAGUGUCAAUUGUAUCGGAUCGAGACCCCAGGUUCACAUCUCACUUUUGGAAGAGCCUGCAAGAGGCGUUGGGCACACGGCUCGAUUUUAGUACAGCGUUUCAUCCUCAGAGUGAUGGAUAAUUAGAGAGAACGAUACAAAUCCUUGAGGAUAUGUUGCGAGCAUGUGUACUUGAUUACAGGGGCGGAUGGCACAACUACUUGCCGAUGGCAGAGUUCGUGUAUAAUAACAGUAACCAAGAAAGCAUCGCGAUGGCGCCAUUUGAAGCCUUGUAUGGAAAGAGGUGCCGUUCCCCGAUUCAUUGGAGCGAGGUGGGCGAAAGAGUUACUCUUGGCCACGAUGUAGUGCGUGAGGCAGAGGAAAAAGUUCGCCUUGCCCGUCAAUGUCUUGCGACGGCACAAUCAAGGCAAAAGAGUUAUGCCGACAAGCGCAGAAGAGAAUUGGAAUUCGCGGUUGGAGACCGUGCAUUUGUGAAAGUAUCGCCUAUGCGAGGAGUAAGGCGUUUUGGGGUCCGCGAGAAAUUGAGUCCCCGAUAUGUUGGACCGUUCGAGGUUUUAGAGCGCAUUAGAGCGGUGGCGUACAAGGUUACAUUGCCACCGAGACUCGCGGGAGUUCACGAUGUAUUCCACGUGUCGAACCUCCGAAAGUAUAUUCGUAACUCGACACAUGUGCUAGAGUAUGAGCCCAUGGAGUUACGUGAAGACAUGUCGUAUGAGGAGUACUCAGUGUGCGUCCUCGAUAGAGAAGAAAGGAAAUUAUGGAGUCGCAUAAUUCCAUACGUAAAAGUUCAAUGGAGCAACCACGCAGUGCGUGAGCCACUUGGGAGCUUGAGGAGACUAUGCGGAGCAUGUAUCCUCACCUAUUUGAGUCGACGAGUUGAGGUAUGUAUAGUUUCACGGACGAAACUAUUUUAAGGGGUGGAGAAUGUAAUAUACCGAAACUUUGGUAAACAAAUAUCGAACUUUAGUCAAAAUGACCAAAGUGCGAGGUUGGUACACUUCGGAAAGGCCAAAGGUGUCUAAAAUGCAAAAAGUGCAUUGUUGGGGGUCUUCGAGAACUGGAGAAUCAAAAAACUCUGCAACUGCAGUUUUUGAGCUCUCUGGGACCGGUCCGUGAUGGGAGAGACCGGUCCUCGUACGUGUGAAAUCUGAGAAGUGAGAAAAUUGGCUAAGUCCCAGGAGAGCAGCUCUCGGGAACCAGUCCCUCCGGGGAGAGACCGGUCCCCGAGAGACCGGUUCCAUCAGGGAGGGACCGGACCCAUUUUUCAUGGCUGAGUGGCUGCUCUCAGGGACCGGUCCCUUACUGGAGAGACCGGUCCCUGAGCCCGAAAAAUGCCCAGUCUGGGCAGUGUUAUGUGGUGAAAGUUGAGGGGCUUAUUUGCAUUUAUGCACUAAGUGGGCUAUGUAUGAGGGGGUAUGAGAUAUUUCUCUCAUUUCUCUCCCUCACACUCUCUCAUAUCUCUCUUUCUCUCUCUAGAAGGCAAGGAAAAGAGGAGAAAAGAGAAAAAGAAGGUGAAGAAGAAGAAGGAGAAGGUGGAGAGGAAGAAGAAGGAGUGAAGCAACUCCCUCUCCUUCACCUCUAGCUCAAGAAAGGAAAGCUUGUAAAGUAAGCUUUGAUCCUCUCUCAUGGUAAAACCCUAGAAUGGGUUUUGAUUGACCUAAGGAUGGUUUUUAAUGGAGCCCCUAGAAGAUUUAAAGCUUUCUUUUGCUUCCCUAAGAGAUCAGAACUAAGGUUUUGUAUAUGUGAUGGAACUAGGGCACCCAAAUUGGAGCUUUUGCUUGUGAAGGUUCUAAAGUUAAAUUGACCAUCUAGAAACCUAAUUGGGGGUAUUUCCGACGCGUUGGUGCGCUCGGUUUGAUGUUACGAAAAGCCUAUGCGAAGAUAUUGACAAAAAGAUCGAUUUUCGUAUAGAUUGCCGCAGCACGCGGAAUAGGAGUCCGAAAAUUUCGAGAAAUUAACCGUAGCACCCUAGUAAGCCUACGAGGUGGGUGGUGCUUUCCAAACUCUUUGAAAUUCCUUCUAUGUCUAUGUGUCACUUAUUGAGCAUAUGAGUAAAUGUUUGUUGCAUGCAUUGUAUAUUCAUGUGAAUGUUGCAUGUUGUGAGUACAAUUGCAUUAUGAAAUGGUUGAGAACCUAAGGACCCUAUGUAUGCAUGAUUGGUGAUAACAAGAACCUAGUUGAGACAAAGAACAAUGUGACACUAUGACAUGUAGAUCGAGUGGCAUUAGUAAAUGCAAGGUGACACUAGAGUUAGUGUGUGUGGAUGGCAUUAACGAGGAUAUGAAUGCUAAAGUGUUUGAACACUAGAGUUAAUGUGUGGUAUCAAAGAGAACAAGUGUGGCAUAAAGAACAACAAAAGCUAAAGUUAGCAACAAAAUGCGACAUAAAGAACACUAGAGUUAGUGUAAUGACAUGAUUGAAAAUAAAGAAUGCAAAGAACUUGAGAUUGAGACACAAUGACAUACUACCUUAGAGCUAAGGGUCAUUUGUGCAUAAUUUCCUUGUAGUUAAGGAACGGAUUGAACUUAACAUCCUUAGAGUUAAGGAUUGGAUCAUACUCGCUAUAAGUCCUUGCUUGAGGGCGGUAGCUCCCCCUCAAGCGAUGCGCUCCGGAGUUUGUCAUCACUGGGUUGGUGCUGUUCCCCAGAGGACGGUCCCCGUCGGGUCGUAGGAGUCUCCCCGGCGAAUUAGGAUUUUGAGUUGGUGAGUUAAUGAGGCGAAACCCCCGGGUUAGCCAUGAAAUUGAACAAGAGAUCAAAGAACUUGUAUUCGUCAUGAGUUUUAUAUUCAGCAUCCUUAUUGAUAGCUUUGUUCAGACAUAUUAGUUGCAUUCGUACAGUUGGUUACUUAUCUUCUUAUUUCUUUCUAUUAUGCCUGAGUUAGACCUAGUGGGAAAGUCGGUGAGAUUGGGGCCAAAUCCACUGGGAAUUUCGUUGUAGUUCUCACCCUACUAUUUCCACAGAGCCUGGACCAAGCGAGCCGGCGAGCGACCGCGGUAAAGGUAUCGCGCCGUAGACAGUGACUACCCGAGUCGAGUUUUAUACUUUUGCUAGUAGCAUACCCUUAUAUCAUCUUUUGUAUUUGAUGAUUAGAUAUGUUAAAGAAAAGAAUGUAAAGUUUUAUUUUGAGCAAAUGUGAUGUAAAAAGAAAUGAUGAAAAGCAAUGUAAAGGUAAAUGUGUAUGUGAAAAAGGAAUUGUGAAUGUAAAGGUUGAAUGCAAUGUAUGUGAUCCAAACUGAAUCAUAGUACUUGUGUAGAUGUUUAGCUUCCAUUCUUUCACUCUCGGCUAUUGCUUACCCUCGUGUAAGCCGUAAUUGUAUGUUUCCGCUUGUGCAUUUUUUUUCUACUUGAAUUGUACAUGCGUUGAGCCUUGGGCGGACAGGGGAGGCUCUGUUCGUUCGUCGUCUGUUCGAUGUGCCCGGACCGGCCAAAGGGUUCAGUCCCGGAGCGUGACAGGUUAUCCCCUACUUUAUACCCAAACAUGUUUUUGGGGGGUGGGAACUAGUUGUUCCCACCCACCUGGUACAAGGGGGUCUUGUACCGGGUUGGGUGGGAACAACAUGUUCCCACCCAGGGGUGGAACAAGUUGUUCCACCCCACCCCUCGGUAGAGUGAGAGAGAGAGAGAUUUUUAUUUUAAAUUUAAAUUUCUAAAAUUUAUAAUUUAUAAUUUUAAAAUUUAAAUUUAUAAUUUUAAAUUAUAAAUUUUAAAGUUUAAAUUUUAAAUUUGAUAUUUUUAAUUUUUAAAUUUUAAAUUUGAUAAUUUUAGUUUUUAAAUUUUAAAUUUGAUAUUUUAUAUCUUUCAAAUUUAAAUUUGGUCUUAAAUUUAAAAUUUUAUAUUUAAAAUUAAAAUUUUGAAAAUUAAAAUUUUAAAAUUUAAUUUCAAAAUAUAAAAUUUAAAAGUUAAAAUUUUCAAUUUAAAAUUCUAAGUUUAUAAUUUAAAUUCAAUUAUAGGGGUAAUAUCAUUAUUUUCUAUUUAUAACUACCAACUAUUCCACCUUAUACUCACAUUUUUAUCCAAACACAAUUUUUCUAGUUCUAGCUUAUACUCACAUUUUCAUCCAAACAAAUAAAUACCCUUGUUCUUACAAAAAUCCAUACUUGUACCUAUCCCCGGUAUAACUAGUUCCUACUAAUUUUCGAACCAAAUGGAGCCGAAGGAGAUAGCCUCGGUGGUCAAGUGGCUUGCGCCAACUACUGUGACCGAAGUCAAGCUUUUCUUGGCUUGGCGGGUUAUUACCAGCGAUUUGUCGAAGGGUUUGCCAAAAUUGCCGCACCACUGAACAGGCUGACCAGAAAAGGGGAAAAGUUCCUGUGGACUACACAGUGUCAGCAGAGCUUCGAUGAGCUAAAGGAUAGACUGACCCGUGCACCCGUUUUAAAUCUACCGCGGCCUGGUAAGGACUUCGUGGUCUAUUGCGACGCCUCACGAGUCGGUUUGGGUUGUGUGCUUAUGUAGCAGGAUCGGGUCAUUACUUAUGCCUCACACCAGCUGAAAGAGUAUGAAAAGAACUACCCGACUCACGAUCUGGAAGUCGCGGCAGUAGUGUUUGCCCUUAAGCUUUGGAGGCAUUAUCUAUAUGGGACACACUACGAGGUAUUUACUGAUCACCAGAGCCUGAAGUAUCACUUCACCUAGAAGGAGUUGAAUCUCAGGCAGAGGCGUUAGCUCGAGCUCUUGAAGGACUACGACCUCUUGAUUUAGUAUCAUCCGGAAAAGGCGAAUGUGGUAGCGGACGCCUUGAGCCAGAAACAAACAUUAGCUGAGUUGUCCUUCAUGAUCACGAGCCAAGAUCGUCUUAUGGAGGAGUUCCGCCGCCUCGAGAUCGAGGUUGUUUACACUGGGGCCACGACCUAAUUGAUGACCCUGGUGGUAUAGCCUACAUUGACUGAGCGGAUUUUGCUCGGGCAGCAGAGCGAUCCGCACUUGCAGAAGGUGCGGGCGGAGAUCGAGCAGGACAAGGACGGGGACUUCUCUAUUCACACUGAUGGAUCUCUGUUCCAGAGGUAGGUGGUGCAUGCCUAGUGACUCGAAGCUGAGGAAUGAUAUCCUAUCCGAGGCUCACCGAUCCCCUUACACGGUUCAUCCCGGCGGAACCAAGAUGUAUCGCCACCUGAAGCAGAAUUUCUGGUGGCCUGGGAUGAAGCUAGACGUGGCUCAGCACGUGGCUCGGUGCUUGGUUUGUCAACAGGUGAAGGCCGAGCACCAGCAACUAGCAGGAAAGCUGCAACCACUUUCGGUGCCCGUAUGGAAGUAGGAGCAUAUUACUAUGGAUUUUGUCACCAGAUUGCCUCGAUCACUGCGGGGCCAAGAUCCGAUCUGGGUAACAGUAGAUCGGCUGACGAAAUCGGCUCACUUCCUGCCGAUGCACACUACAUGGUCCCGCUACCGACUGGCACAGUUGUACAUUGAUGAGAUCGUUCGGCUUCAUGGUGUGCCGGUGUCGAUCAUAUCAGAUCGGGACACUUGCUUCGUAUCCCAAUUUUGGAGGAGCUUAUAGCAGGUUAUGGGUACGAAGCUGAACUUCAGUACGGCUUUCCAUUCCGAGAGCAACGGUCAGUCAGAGCGAGUCAUCUAGAUUCUUGAGGACAUGCCCCGCGCAUUCGUCCUGGAUUACGGUGAUGGAUAAUUUCGGUAUCUACCGCUUAUAGAGUUCGCCUAUAAUAACAGCUACCAGGCGAGCAUCGGGAUGGCACCGUAUGAGGCUUUAUAUAGGCAUCGAUGUCGGUCUCCUAUCUGCUGGGACGACGUAGGAGAACGCCGGUUGAUUAGGCCAGACUUAGUGGAGGAUUGCUAGUGUAAUAUACCGAGAUUUUAAUAUAAAAGUAAGUGUAAAUAAAAAAAUAGUGUAAGAUACUACUUUUAUUGGAUUUAAAGAAGUAAAAUAUAAGCCGGAAACGACUUGUGCUGAAAUCAGAACGGAAACAGAAAAUUUAGAAUUUUCUGUAAGGAACGGGGCUGUCAUUUUAGCAAAAAAUUCACAGUGUCAGAAAAUUAUGAGAACGUGGGAGUAUGUCGGAAUUAUUUUUAUGAGGCUAGAUUUAAAAUUUUAUGUCAUUCCGACACCUGAAAAAUGAAAAAUAAAAUUCGACUGCUAUCUGCUAGAGAUUUUGGGUCGGUAGAGCUUUCGAUGAUCAAAAGUGGUCGAAACUGAGAAGUUAGGAUAUCGUUCUUCUUAUUAAGUAAAAUCGAGCCUAACUGUUAAAUUUGAGCGCAAACGGACAUUUAGAAGGGCUCUGGCGAAAAGGAAUAGAUUUUGAACUAUUGAACUGAUAAUUGUAAUAGUGUUUUGGGGGCCUAUAUAUGUAAACCCACACACUCUCUCUCCCUGAUUUUAUCCAACCCGAGAGAAGCUUGGAGAGAGCUUCUCUCUCUCUCUCUUUCUCUCUAGCUUUCACCUCUCUCUCCUUUCCUCUUGUAAUUUCUCCAUUAAAGAGAGGUUUGGAGGAGCUUAAAGUUGCUUGAUGGUGAAGCAAGCUUUGGUGGAGAAAAAGGCUUGGAGUUGAAGCUACUACCUCUCAUUCUUCCUUGGCUCAAGAAAAGAAAGCUUGUGAGGUAAGCUUCUUGAGCUUCAAUGGUAGAUUUCUAAGGUUUGAGUUAUGUGCUCUAGAAAUGGGCCUAGAUGACUCCCUAGAUGCUAAGUAGAAGCUAUUUGCUUGAAUCAAAGACUUGUAUGGCUAUUAUUGCAAUAGUUGCAUCUUAGGGUUUAAAAAGAGAGUUUUGUUAUAUGGGAGGGUUUGAUGUAAAUUGACCCUAUAUAUCUUCAAUUGAAGGUAAAGUUAACAACGUGGGUAACUCAAAUCGAAGUUCCUACGAUCGUGCGAUGAGUAAUUAAAGAAAAGGACCGUUUUGGCUUCGUUUCUGCCUGGAGGGCCGGGGCAACGUCCAAAAAUCACGAAACUAGAAUCUUAGCGUCACGGCAUCACCAGAAGGUGGUGGGUGCUAUCCGAAGCAAUCGGAAGUAUUGUGAGGUGGGUUGUGCUCACCGAAGUUAUUAGCUCACUUUUAUGCCGAAGUGAAAUGUUGUUUAUCAUUGAUGCAUAAUGGUGGUUAAUUGCUAAACAUAUGAAGGCAUGAAGUAAAUGCUAGAAGAAUAUGUAAGAUGAAUGCUAUGUUAAACUACCAUGGUUACUAUUGAUGCAUGUAUGCAUAUUGGUAGGUUGUGCAUGAUAAUGUGAAUGUAGGAAUCAUAUUAUGCUUGAUGGUGUUACCUACCAUGAGAAGUUAUAUGAAUGCAUGACAUAGAGGUUAUAUGAAUGCAUGAGAUGAAAUAUGCAUGUUAAGAUAUUGUGGAUUAUGUUAGAUGGAAUAUGCAUGAUGACAUGUUGUAGCAUGUGUUGGAUUCAUGUAGAAGUGAACUUGGACAAUAUGUUUAUGUAAAUGAGUGGCAUGUGAACUAGUGUGGUAGAGGCAUUUAAACAUGAUUACAUAAACGAGUGGCACAUGAUUAAGUGCAGUAGAGACACUUACAACAUAAUGACAUGAUCGAGUGGCAAUUUGGAUCUAGUGUAGUAGAAACACUAUGACAUGAACAUAGGGAUAGUAGAUUUUCCGAGUUGUCAAUAUGGCCUUUGAAUUUAGUGUCGUAGAAGCACUAUGACCCUUGUAGACAGGGUAUCCUCAGUAGACGAGGAUUGGAUCAUACUCACUUAGUCUGUGUUCGCUUGGGGUGAUCGCUCCAAACAAGCAGUGAGCUCCGGAGUUAUCACACAAUGGGUAAAAAGAACCUACUAAGCAAACGGUCUCGGUGUGCGAGUACAGAUUCUCCUCACCUAUGAGAUUUUGAGAGGUGAGUCGGGGCGUAACCUUCGGGUUAGCCAAGCAGAUUGGGUGACAAGCAUAUGAGCUGUAGUUGAAUCCCAGUAGAGUGGAUUCGGAAUCCCAGUUGAAUGGAUUUAAGGCUGAGGUGCAUGUGAGACGUCCUUCACCUUGAGCCUGGUUGUACGCGGUAUUCCGCAGAUGAUUGACUCGAGGCCGAGUCGAGUGGCUAGCUUGGUAAAAGUAGAUGAAACCUUAUGAGCAGAUGAUAAAGGUAGAUGAAACCUUAUGAGCAGAUUGUGAAUGACAUGAAUUUAAGAUAGAGAAAAUCUUAGAAGUCAGUUGGAUGAACUGUGGAUAGCGAAACUGAAAGUAGAAUUAGUAGAUCUACUUACAUUAUUGCACGUUGAGCUACAUGACUUACAUUGAUGCAUAUUGAGUUGCAUGAUUUGCAUUGUUGCAUAUUGAGAGGCAUGAACAUGAUAAUAUUAGUUGCAUAAAUUAAAUGAUGAUAUAUAUAUAUAUAUAUAUAUAUAUCUGUGGAUAUUUGUUGGAAUAACAUGUUUGCAGUGCCUCCUUCGGACCUGCUAGGUCGAGCUCUUCCCUUGGGUGGCCGUACCCACUAGGAACUAUAUUUAUAUAGUUCUCACUCCACGUUGUUUUGGGGAUUACAGGUUCACACGCGAGCUGUGCGGCGGCGCGAGGAAAGGUCGUAGCUUCGUAGAUAGCGCCCUACCACGGAGACCAAAAAUAGUAGUACCCAAAGUCUGCCUAGCUAGGGGUUUGUCAUGCCCCGGGACCCAGCGGAAGCCCGCUCGGCGCGUGCCCAGACCCGCCUUAUGUCUAAAACAUAUAAGGCGUCUAAUACGAAACAAUAAAUAAAGCAAAUAAAGGAGACCUAAAGAUAUCAGAGCAUUAUACAACAUCUAGUACCUAAAGCAGUGAAAUCCUUUAGCUAGAUAAGAUAAGGGGCGGAUGUAGCCAAGUGGGUCUAGCAUAUUUUUUCACAGUAGCAGGAUCAGAAUAACUUACUCCAGGGGGAUUAUUCAGAGCAGGCUCAAUGGAACUACUGAACUCAAUCUCUUGCUGCCGUUACUCAUGUUAGGUCCUAUGUGUUGGCAAGUUUCGUGGGUCGAGUCGGAGUCUUGAAGAAGUUCGGAGCGGAGUAUUGAAAAUCGAAGAAUCCAAGACUUCGAAGAAUCGGAAAGGACGCAAAACACGCAAAACUUGAAUCACGAUGCGUAGGUAAGUUUUAAAUCUUGUUUAUGGUGAUUCAUACUUAUUUAUAGAUCUUAGAAUCAUAUUUUCAAGUUGUAAUUGAUUAGAAAGUUUUUAAGAGUUUGUAAAACCCGAAACAAUGCAUUUUCAGCGAAAAUUGCAUUGCUGUACCGGUACAAGGGUUUUCUGUCCAGGGUACAGCCAUCAACGUUGCGCAGAAAGUUUGAUGGUUGUUCCGGUACAAGCUUCAUGCUGUACCGGUACAAGCCCUGUUCCGGAACAAGCUGAAGCUAUCCAGGGUACAGGAGCUUCGCAGAAAAAUCUUCCGUCAUGGUGUACCCUGGACAACAUUCCUUGUUCCGGUACAAGGUGCUGUUUUUGGAAAGAAACUUUCUAAUUCGACUCCAAUUGAUUCUAAAGUCUAUAAAUAAGCUAUUGGGCUUCUCUAACACAUCAAGCAUCAUAAGAAUACAUGUUUGAGAAACCCUAGAGGCUCGGAUUUCAUCUUAAACCUAUUUUCUACAAAAAGCCUCUUUUAGAUCAAAUCGAGAUAUUCAAAUUUGAUAUUAAUAUGUCGAUUUGAUCUCCGCUUUGCUUGGAGUUCUAUUCCCUGGUUUUCUACAAUACUCCAAAGCGAAGGAUCACCAUAUUCAUGAUAUUCUUCAUGAACGGCGUCGUGGAUUCGGCGUGAACGAAGACGGUUCGUGGAUUCGGAUCGUGAGCUCGUGGAUUCGAGUGGGCGUCGUGGAUUCGACGUGAUCGAGGCUUCGUGGAUUCGAAGUGGUGACGUUUUGUGGAUUCGGGACGUGGCGUUCGUGGAUUCGGACGUGGGGCGUGGACAACCCGUUGGUGUGCGCGAGAUCCGGAGAAGAUAGAAGAGAGGUUUGAGUCCGUGGAUUCAGUAAAACACCUUGUAAUCUUUUAGUCUUAGUGGAUUGUUAUCGCGUGUUGGUCCCGUGGGUUUUUUACUCCGAGUUUGGAGUUUUUUCACGUAAAUCUCGGUGUGCUUUUUAUUUUCCGCAUUUAUUUUUAUUGCAUCGAGAUUUGUGGUUUUUUGGCCUUUCACCUAUUCACCCCCCUUUAGGUGAUAGAUACAAUCUAGAUAGAUCCUUGGGCUCCUCAAAACUUUCAAUUGGUAUCAGAGCGGGAUCUAGAUAUAUUGUUAUCUAAUGGCUGAAGGUGGUAACAUUAAUCGACCUCCGCUCUUCGACGGCACGAAUUAUACCUAUUGGAAAGUUCGCAUGAGAGCUUUUCUAAUUGCUAUCGAUGAGCGGGUUUGGCAAUCAAUUGAAUUUGGGUGGAAACAUCCGCUAGAAAAGGUCGAUAAUGUUGAAAAGCCAAAACCACGGAACAAGUGGACAAAAGAAGAAAACGAGACAUCUUCGUUUAACGGCAAGGGCAUAAACGCUUUAUUCAAUGCCUUAUCGCAAACGGAGUUUACUCGUGUUUCGGCUUGUGAAACGGCAAAGGAAAUUUGGGAUACUCUACAAGUUACGCAUGAAGGAACAAGCUUAGUAAAGGUCCAAAAAUUGCAAAUGCUAACUAGCAAGUUUGAUUCAAUUUCUAUGGACGAAAAUGAGACCUUUACCGAGUACUAUACACGUCUACAAGAUGUUGUGAACACAUGUGCUAACUUGGGAGAGAAAAUUCCGGAUUCAAAGGUUGUUAGGAAAAUCCUUCGCACUCUUCCGGAACGUUUUCGGGCUAAAGUAGCCGCGAUCGAAACGGUCAAGCAUCCGGACGAGAUGAAGGUCGAAGAAUUAGUAGGUGCUUUGCAAACUUAUGAGAUGACUUUUCCUACUAAUCAAUCUUCUUCCAAUUCUUCUUCUAAAAGCACAGGUGUUGCAUUGAAAUCUACAAAGGAGAAGGACGAAGACUCGAGUUCCGAUGAUGAUUUAUCAAUUGCGGACUUUGAACAACAAUUGGCGCUUCUCACGAAGAAGUUUCGUCGGAAUUUUCGAAAGAAGAAUAGAUCGAACAAGGCUUCAGCGUCUAAAUCUUUUUCGUCUACAUCUAAGGAGAAGAAGCGUGCAAAGGCUUCGAAAGAAAAGGAUGUCUUUGAAGGCGAGAUCCAAUGCUUCAAGUGCAAAGGUUACGGCCACAUUGCGACGGAUUGUCCUUCAAAGAGGACAUCUAGACAAAAGGCUAUGCAAGCAAAGACGUGGGAUGAUUCAACAUCAAGUGAAUCAUCGUCAAGUGACGAAGAAAAGGAUGAUCAAAUUGCUUUAUUUGCUAAUGCUCCCUCGUCGAAUGUUGUGUGUUUAUCCUCUGUUGCUACUAACUCCAAUAUUUCUCUUUCUUCACAUGAUUCAUCGAGCAACAAUGGCGAAAGUGAAGAGGAAUCAAACGACGACGACAUAGCGGAAGCGUACAAUCAACUUCUUAUUGAAUCAAAGAAGAUGGCUAAACUCAACAAGAAGUUGAGACGUCGUUUGUUGGAACUUGAGGAGGAAAACAACAAUGUAAAGAAUUUGAAUAAGGUUCUUGUGGAGGAAAGGGAUUCAAGUUUGAAGAUUAAUUCGGACCUCCAAGAGAAGCUUAGUGAUGCGGAAUCAACGAUCAAAUCCUCUAAUGACAAGAUUGGACUUUUGGAGCAUCAAUUUCAUGAAUCGCACAAGUCCAAUCAAGUCUUGAUCUGUCAACUCCCAAUCCAUCUUCACGAUUUCUUCUGGGAUCAAAGAAGUUGACAAAAUGUUGGAUUGGGCUCAAACGAGCAAAUUGGGUCUUGGAUUGAAGGACAUAUGUUUGAGAGGAUCAAACUGGCGACCAUCUAAGUCUCACUAACUUUCAAAAGCGCACAGUGUGUCAUCGAUGUGGCCAUUCGAAGGAACGAUGCAAAAGGAAUUGCCCAACAAAAAUGGCAAGAGUCACCAAUGGCAAUCAAAAACAUUCAUCAUGGCUUCAUCUAGCAAGUCGACUUCCCCCGCGGAAUCAAAAGAAAAAUCAAGUGGUCGGCUAUUCUCAAAAGAACCGGUUUUCUAGCGCACACGUCAACCGUCAAGAUUUAUACAAACGGAUGUCUUAAUCCUCAACGACUAAAUUCAAUGAAGCCUCAACGAAGAAACCACAAACGGUUGAUAAAAAAUCUUAAGCAACGGCACCAAACGUCGACAAGCCGACGAAAACCAAAGACCGACAAGUUUGGAUCCGGAAGAGUGAUCUUCCUUGGCAUAAUCCUCGUCUUUAGUCAUUUGAUCUUUGUGUAAUGCCGUGUGGAUUGGUGUUUGUUGAAUAAUUUUAUUCAUUUCAUUACAUGUUAAAUGAUUUUUGGAGUUUUUGCUUUGAAUUUUGUUUAUUUAAAAUCAUUUUGAGGAAAAGGGUGUUUUGGGAUUCAAAUUUUCGAGAAAGGAUGAUGAUGAGGAAUCUUUUGGAGAGAGAAUAUUCUUUAAUUGUCGCGUAAACGGUAAUUUACCUUCACAAUCAUAUAAAUGUUAAAUCAUAUAUGCUUCAUUUUUACUCCAAUUUUUAUUCAUUUUGACCGAUAAAAUUAUAUAUGAUUGCUGUAAUGCAUAAAUUCAUCAAAUUUUCUGAAAUCAAAUUUGAUUUUUUGGUGAUUAAUUUCAUCUGGUUGUGACGUGUUGGAUAUGAUGAAUGGGUAUUCCUAAUUGACUAAAAUUCGUCAAAAUUGUAUUUUCAUUGUGAGAUUGUCUAAUUUAUGGGUGAGUUUGAAAUUGUUUAAAAUAAAAAAGGAGAAAAAAAAACUCCUAGGGUUUAAAAGACUGGGUGGAAAAGGUUACAUCAAAAGGAGUGUGAAAACUACCACCAACUCGUAGGAAAGAGUACCACCCCGGUCGUCCGGAAGAUGUGUGAAGUCCAGCAAUGAAAUUAAUUGGAUAAGCGAAACGUUGGAAAAAUUAAAUAUUUAGAAUUUCGGAGUAAUAAGGUGCUAGUUUUGAAAAAGAUGCAUCAAAGAGCAGCCCUGGUAAUCUAUUUUAAGUUAAUCUCUAUUUUGAAAUGUAGUUGCGACAUUCGACAGCGAUGUGCAAUUUUGUCUUUGAAUUCUAAAAUCAUUUUCAUCAACUUACAUCUGGAUGGUUUUUGGUAUUAAAUUAUUUUGAUUUUGAAAUUUUGAUGCUUUGAUGUUGUUGUGAAAUUUAUAUAUUAUUCAUUCAAUGAUUUUUGGAGAAAGCCUUACUAUAUGAUUUAAUUUAAUGUGAUGGAUUUUUAAAGCAAAUUUUCGAAAUCUGAGCAUCGUUCAUUGGCUUUAGUCUCUCUCCUUCUCUAGUUUGCCUUUUAGAUCGAUGAUGUUUUAGUUUCAGUUUUGCUUGUUUUUUUUGGCCUGUAACUAUGACUGACUACGCUUUACAUCCUUUUUUCUAAGUAUGUUAUUCUUCUCUAUUUGAUUUCUUUUUAGGCAUUUUUACGAAAAGGGGAGAGAGCGUAGAUGAAGGGGGGGAGCAUGGCAUAGAACAAGUGCAGUUGAACUGAAGCAGAGGAUGAUGAUGUUCAGAACAAAGGGGGAGAUGCUGAGAACAAAGGGUGGCGAGAGGUAUUAAGAAUUUAGUUGCUCAAUUCAUUUUGAAUGAAUGUUCAAGACUCCUAGUUGCGGUUGCUAAGUUCUAUGAGUACUUUUUAGGAGUUUUGUAUGUAAUUUUGAGUUUUCAGAAUUGAUAUUGGAUUACAACGAGGACUAGCAGCCAACGCGCGCGGGUUCGAUGUUUGUGAUGGACAUUGAACUUCCGUUUAUUUUUACAUUGUCAUUUGUGAGUUUGUGUGUGUUUUGUCAGCGAUUUGCCAAAGGGGAGAUUUUUAGUCCUAUAGUGUUGGCAAGUUUCGUGGGUCGAGUCGAGUCUUGAAGAGUUCGGAGCACGGAGUAUUGAAAAUCCGAAGAAUCCAAGACUAUCGAAGAAUCGGAACAGGACGCAAAACACCAAAACAUUGAAUCACGAUGCGUUAGGUAAGUUUUAAAUCUUGUUUUUGGAUUCUAUACUUAUUUAGAAAUUUUAGAAUCAUUAUUUCAAGUUGUAAUGUCAUUAGAAAGUUUCUCGGAGUUGUAAAAUACGCGAAACAAUAGAUUUCAGGCGAAAAUUGCAUUGCUGUAGGCCGGUACAAGGGUUUCUGUCCAGGGUCAGCCAUAUCAACGUUGCGCAUGAAGUUUGAUGUUGUUCGGUACAAAGGUUUUCUGUCCAGAGGUACAGGGCCUAUCAACGUGUAGCCAGAAAGUUUAUGCGUUGUUCCGGUACAGCACUUCAUGCUGUACCGGUACAAGCCCUUUGUUCCGGAAAGCUGAAGCUAUCCAGGUAGGAGCUUCGCAGAAAAAAUCUUCUCAUGUUGUACCUGGAAACAUUCCUUGUUCGGUACAAGUGCUGUUUUGGAAGAAACUUUCUAAUUCGACUCCAAUUGAUUCUAAAGUCUAUAACAUAAGCUAAUUGGGCUUCUCUAACACAUCAAGGAUCAUAAGAAUACAUGUUUGAGAAACCCUAGUGGCUUGAUUUCAUCUAAACCUAUUUUCUACAAAAAGCCUCUUUUAGAUCAAAUCGAGAUAUUCAAAUUUGAUAUUAAUAUGUCGAUUUGAUCUCCGCUUUGCUUGGAGUUCUAUCCUGGUUUUCUACAAUACUCCAAAGCGAAGGAUUCACCAUAUUCAUGAUAUUCUUCAUGAACGGCGCAGCGUCGUGGAUUCGGCGUGAACGAAGACGCGUUUCGUGGAUUGGAUCGUGAGCUCGUGGAUUCGAUGGGCGUCGUGGAUUCGACGUGAUCGAGGCUUCGUGGAUUCGAAGUGGUGACGUUUCUGUGGAUAUCGGGACGUGCGUUCGUGGAUUCGACGUGGGGCGUGGACAACCGUUGGUGUGCGCGAGAUCCGGAGAAGAUAGAAGAGAGUUUGAGUCCGUGGAUUCAGUAAAACACCUUGUAAUCUUUUAUUCUUAGUGGAUUGUUAUCGCGAUGUUGGUCCGUGGGUUUUUACUCCGAGUUUGGAGUUUUUCACAGUAAAUCUCGGUGUGUUUUUAUUUUCCGCAUUUAUUUUUAUUGGCAUCGAGAUUUGUGUUUUUGGCCCUUUACACUAUUCACCCCCUCUAGUGAUAGAUACAUCUGUAGAUCUAGGGAUCCUUAGGCUCCUCAAAACUUUCAACUCAACAGUUUCGCUAAAGAAAAAGCUUUUACUGCAGCUAAAUAUCCUUUUUUCUUCCAAAUAUUUCUACGAAUACGUUUUUUUGACAUAGAAGUAUUGGCAUUCUUGGUGCCAUGGAAGAAAUAACUGAUUAUAAAGCGCAGGCCGAAACGGGUGAAAUAAAAGGACAUUACUUAAAUGCUACUGCGGGUACCGAGGUGAUGGGUCUUCUUUUGCGGUGAUAAAUUACCUACUUAAGGACCUGAGACAGGGAAUUCCCUAGGAGAAGGUCAAAGUCAGCAUCUUAGCCCUCAAGGAUUUCUUCCUCUGCGUCUGCUGAAAAGAUGAAUCCCUUUUGAAGCCAGAAUUGGGUCCUGAGCUAAGCCUUGGCUAAACCUCGGAAUCAUCAAUCGAAUCACUGUUCGCGACCCAGGAUUCUAUUUUAUCAUCAAUCCAAUCACCGUUCACGUUUUUCUUUUUCUUAUAAUUCUAGUUCGUCAUGGGCAGGGACACUAUUGCCGAUCUAAUAACUUCUAUAAGAAAUGCUGACAUGGAUAAAAAAGGAAGGGUUCGAAUAGCAUCUACAAAUAUCACCGAAAGCACAAGUGCAGAAUUCGUACCUUUCUAAUUUAUAUUUGUUCUAGUACGAAGAGUAGAGAGCUAAAAAAAUCACUAAAUAAACCAUAAGGUAAAUACAAUAGAAAUCCCAAAUACAGAAGCUAAACAUGUACAUAGGUGGUCUCUCUAUACAUGGUACUCAAAAUCUCUCUCUCUCUCUCUAAUACAACAAAAGAAAGAGUAACCACCUAAGCUCAAAAGUAGCUCAUCUCUAUCUAGCUAGGCAACACCCUUGCCACGAUCCCGUGCCUCCGCCGGUGCCGAAGGCUCUGAAAAGGAAACAUAGAAACAGGGGCGUGAGAACUAUUAAAUAAUAGUUCCCCGUGAACAAUUACUGACUUCAGUGAAAUGCGCCACUAGGCCCAAGAGCUACAAAAAGGGGUCAGUGUAUAAGUAUAAACAAAGGCAUAAGUAUGAUGUCCACAAGCUAAAUAGUAAAAUGUCAUUGUUUACUAUUCUAGCCAAUGUCCACAUGGCAUGAUGAAUGCUCAAAGUCAAAUCUGAAGAGACCCACCCGAAGGCUGUCUGGCCCUGAGACCCUCUCGUAGGCUGUCUGGCGGAUGUCGAGCCUAAUGGCCCCGUGGUAGUCAACAUCCCCACCAUAGGGAUGAGCCUAGCCCACGGAAAUCCACUUCGGCGCCCAAUCCCGCACGGCGAAUAUGUAUCGCGAUAGCUAUCUCCGGAGUGCCGGCUUGUAGGGAGCGACCCUCACAAGCAUGUGCGAAUGAGCACAAUGGCAAGUAACCAAAAGAUCCGUCUCAAGUACCAAGUCCUCAUGUCUAACAACAUGGAAUACGUCACAUCUCUCAUAAGCCUAUCUCUAUGUCAUCAUGUCUUUAACAUGGAAAAUAAAAGAUGUCAAUGGCCUAUCACUAAGUCUCAUAUGACAGUUGCAUAGUUUGCUAAUCCAAGUGCCACUUUAUAACACUUUUGGUCUCUAUGUCCAAGCAAGAUAAUUAUGAUCAUGAAUGCAUAAUUCUAAUCAUUUUCAUCGUACGAGAUAAGUACCCAACUCGCAAAAAGAACCAUUUCUCACAUGCAUGCUAAAAACCCAGAAUACCCUACUACAUAGAGUGAAAAAUUCAUGAUACAUCAGGCAUGCAUUUUAAGUGUUCUAAAAUUCACAUAAAUCCCAUUUAACAUGAAUAUGCAAUCAAAUUGACGUUACGACAAGUAUAGAAUACAUAGGGGCCAUUUCGCCCCGAUUUCAUAAAGUCAAACUCACCACAACUGUCACAGCUCGCGACCACCCGCCUAUUUGGCCGAGGUUCCGGCGCCGCCGACAUCGCCGAAUGGACAGGGUUUCCCCUGUACUACGGACAGAGUCUCCUCUGUACAUUCAAGGCAUCGCAAUCAAUACAAUUCACGAAGGUUCCAACCAGGAACAGAUAUCAAUCAAGAUUGCAAGUGGAAGGUAUCAUACAACAUAAACACAUCCUAAGUUAUUACAUUCAUUCACUUUCAUAGUUUUUACAUCACAGUUUCCAUUUUUUUUCAUCCAAAUGCAAUCUAAGUUAUUACAACAUUUAAUUACUACAAGUUUGAUACAUUGUAUUCUUUUCAUUUCCUUUACCCCUAAGCUAUAUAGACGGGGUACUGCUAGCUCUGGUCUCUGGGGUAGGGCGCUAUCUGCAGAACUACGCCCUCGUCUUGCGCCGCCGCGCUGCACACGUGUGUACCUGUACCCCCAAAACAGCAACACGGGGGUGAGACUAUUGUCCAUAGUCCUCAGUGGGUUUAGCCACCCAAGAGAACCAGCUCAACCAACAGGUCUAAAGAGGCACUGCAACAUGUUAUUUCAACAAUAUACAACAGAUAUAUAUAUUCAAUUGAAAUACAUGUCAUGCCUCACGAAAUGAAAUAUGCAAUACCUGUAAUCAUGCAAGUAGGUUACUUUAACGCUACUUAUAUUCUUAAUCAUUCUUUACUCUUGUCAUUUAAUGUUUACUUUUAGCUCUUAGCUAUUCUUUACUUGUAACCUUUCUUUACUUAUCAGCUAUUCUUAUUCCUUAGCCGAUCUUUAUUCUUUACUUAUUCUUUAUUCUUUACACUUUGUCGCACUUUUCUACUGGCCAUUCUUUCCUAAGGUUUCUCUUACCUUAGUUCUCUAUGCCACCCGACUCGGUCUUGAGUCAAUCAAUCGCGGAUAGUCCGCGCACUGUCUAGCUCGAGGUGAAGGAACUCUCACAUGCACCUCAGCUGGCAACAGCUCACCGUACUCCUGUCCUAGCCGUCUGGCAGCGAACGAAUCGCACCUCACCCAACAACGGCCUAGGUCCAUGACUUAGCCACCCGGCGGCGAAAUCGUCGCACAAACGCCACGACAGUGGUUCAAUCAACAGGCGGUAGGAUCCACAAACUGGCUAACCAUCCGGCGGCGAAAUCGUCGCACACGCCACGACAAAGGUUCUUUAGCCCUUGAGCGGCGAAAUCGUCGCACACACCCGACACCACGUUGGGUGUAUCCUUUUAGCCUUGGGAUUCUGGAAUCCAUUUCACAUCACAUAGGGGUUGGUCUUAACCCUAUGGAACUGACCUCUCUAGGUCUAAGCCUUCACUCAACUCACCCAUUAGGUUUAUUACUUUCGCAUUCUUAACCUAGGUUUAUUACACUAGGAUCAUUAUUCUUUCCAACCUAGGUUCACUUGACUCUAGGUUAAGUACUUUUCAUUUCACGACCUAUGUUUAUUAACACUAGGUUAGAUGCCACUCGAUCUAUUUGAUUCUAGGUCUACUCACAACCUAUGCUCCUUAACACUAAGUUAGAUGCCACUCGAUCUAAUUCACAUACUAAUUGUCCAAUUAAGCAUUCUACUCAUUCUAGAGUUAUCAAUUCUCAUUUUCCAAUGUUAUCUCUCUAUUCAAGCUAGAGUUAUCAACCAAGUUCAUAUGCAUAUAUAAUCUCACAAUGCUAAGCAUGCAUCUAUGAUCUCAUAAUGCUAAUCAUGCGUUUAUAAUCUCAUAUAUUAUUUAUAUGCAUCUACUUAGCAUUUACAUCAUACUAUAAACAUGCAUCUUAUAACUUGCUCAUUAUGCAUUCUAGCAUUUCUACAUUACAUUAUUUAGCAUUAUGUAACUUGCUCAUAAUGCAUUCUAGCAUUUCUACAUUACAUUAUUUAGCAUUAUGUAACUUGCUCAUAAUGCAUUCUAUUUAGCAUUUACAUCAUACUAUCAACAUGUAUUAUUUAGCUACAUGCAUCAUUUACAUUCUUCAUUUACAUUUAUAUGCAUUAAUAUGGAUUCUUAGUUUCUUAGACAUAAAGGCGACCUAGUCGCUUUGGUAAACACAACCCACCUUAAUUCGCGUUCCGAUUGCUUGUCGACACUUGCAAUCGGCCUCCCGCGGCACCCGUAUCCGGCACGGCCCGAUACUGCAACUGCGCCUCAACCGUGCUCCGCUUCGCAGCCCCGAAAAUUAUAGGUCUUUGGUAAUGUGCCACGAUGCCUCAAAUCCAUUUCCAUGAUUUUACGACGUCGCCUCGGCCCUCCCGACGGACCCGAAGCCUAAACGUCUAUUUCUUUAAUAACUUUGUAACGGCUCGUCGGAUUGCCGAACCGUCUUCGCCAACGCGUUUCGUUACCUAGCAAUUAGGUUUACAAAGGGUCAAAUGAGAUCAAACCCUCAUAUUUUGAAAGUUUGCAUUUUGGAGCCCUAGGUUACAACUAUGCAAGAAAUCACUAAAUUGAUCCAUGAUUCAAGCAUUAAUCAUCUAGAUAGCAUGCUAGGACUCCUCUAAAUCCAUUUAUAAGGUAUUUAAACCAAGCAUUAAAGAUCUACCAUUAAAGGACUCAAGAAGCUCACCUCAAAAUGAGCUCCAAACCAUGGAGAAGAUGAAGAAGACAAAGGCGAUCCACCUCCAAGCUUCAAUCUCCACCAAAUCCAUUCUUUUUGGGAGAGAUUUAGAGAGAGAAAGAGAGGCUUCUCUCUUCCCUUCCAUGCGCGUGUGUGUGUGUGCGGUUUGGGCUGCUACGGCUGGGAGGAAGAAGAAGCAAAAGGGAUUUAAUCCCAUUUUACCAUUUUGGCCCUCAACUACACACUAUUCACUACGGGCAGUCUGAAAUCUGAUAAAUUUCGUUGGAGCCCUUCCGGAUGUCCGUUUUCGAUCAAAUUUGACAGGCAGGCUCAGUUUAAUGUACUGAGCAAGAAUAUAUCUUAAGUUUUCAGUUUCGACUCCGUUUGGUCACCGAAAACUGUGCAGAACUGCAAUCUUUAUCAGAUAGCUUUCGGAUUUUAUUUCUCACUCUACGGGUGUCAGAAAAAUAUGAAACUUUAAAUCUAGCCUCAUAAAAAUAUUUCUGACAUCCCCGCUAAUUUUCAUAAUUUUCUGAGACUGUGCAUUUUCUGCUAAUUUAUUAGUCCCGUUUCCAACAGAAAAUUCUAAAUCUUCUGUUUUCGCUCCGAUUUCAGCACAGGUCGUUCCCAACCGAUAUUUCACUUCUCUAAAUCUAAUAAAAUAGUAUCUCAUACUAUUUUUAUUUAUUUUUCUCUUUUAUAUUUAAAAUCUGGUAUGUUACAACAACUAUUGCGCUCCUUCGUUU
RNAcentral lists this long non-coding RNA (22768 nucleotides) under Ananas comosus (pineapple). Its description in RNAcentral is "long non-coding RNA (ACOM_LNC010276)". Lineage: Eukaryota; Viridiplantae; Streptophyta; Magnoliopsida; Poales; Bromeliaceae. The record is from RNAcentral.